This 719-nucleotide unclassified non-coding RNA is filed under the name Hevea brasiliensis (rubber tree). The record is from RNAcentral. Lineage: Eukaryota; Viridiplantae; Streptophyta; Magnoliopsida; Malpighiales; Euphorbiaceae.
CUGGUUCCUACGUACCCGAAAAGGUUGAAGAAUAUAUAUAUAUGAUGACAGAGACGUCACCUUAAACGCAAACGUACAAAGCACUCAAACUAGAAACAAGCCAAGCCACGAAAACAAUGUAAAACAACAGGGAAAUUAAGAAACUAGAAACACUAGGCGCACUGGAAUCCUGCGCAGACACCCUUUCCGCAGUAAUUCAAGAGCAAGCUUCAUGAGAUAGGAACGUUAAGAUUGAUGCCCAAAACAUUGGCCUUAAGGACAGUGCAAAGGCAAACGGCGGCCUCAAGAUCAGCAAGACCUUGAAUGAGAGGGCAGCAUGGUUUCUUUUGUGGGGUUCCCACUACAAGGUGCAACAAAUCUUUUAAUAAUUUAGAGCAUACUCCUAGCCUUGGGGUGUCUCUUGGGCAAGUGGCCGUAGCUACUGGUGAUGGACAAGGGACAAGAUGAUGAGUUGAGCUCACCAAAGUGAAGAAGAGAAGGUUAAGGGAGAGAAAAAGGGCAGUGCUUGCAACAGCCUUGGAAGCCAUUUUUGGGUAUGGGAUGGUGAUUGGAAUUGGCAAUGAAGUAAUUUGCUAGGCUACGGUUUAUGCAGACGGAGAUUGUUGCUGUCAGUAUAGCUUUUCCGGUGUUGUCAAGCUUCAAUGUUGGCCCUUUUAUGUCUGUUUCAAGGAAAAAGUGUUUUCCCUUUAUUGUUUCUGUCAUUGCAAUAUCCCUUACUU